GCUCGGCUGUGCGCGGUCCUCCUGCUCCACCGCAUGGCUUCCGUUCCUGAUCAUCUUCUUGAAGCCUAUGAAGUUCCCUGACUGGCGUUAAAAGCGGUAGUAAUGGUCCGUGCGGAUAUGAAUGACCGGCGAAAUCUCUACGCCCUUCCAGACGCCCCGAGAGUGUGCGCAGCGUAGAUGAUGCGACGCGCAAACGACACGCCCCCUUACGACACCCCGCCCCCCUCUUUUGAGGAAGUGACGCGAGAAGAGAGUCGCGCGGGAUUUCCCUGUAGUGUCUUUAAGGCACUGAAGGUGGACUAGAAGCAUGGAGGCCUACUCUGGUUUGGGUUGUCCGGAUUUUAGCCAGGCCACAAAGCUCUGGGCCGCCUGGUCUUGCAGGUAUUUGCUGUAGUCGUUGGAGAAAGUUCCCUCUGAAUGUCUCUUCAUGGUCGUCAAACCCGGAGCCCUCGCCAAAAAACUGUCUGCUGUCUCUGUGCUGCAAAAACACAUUAGCAUAAGCGUUAUAUUGUGAAAAAAUAAAAAAAUAAAAUAAAAUUAUAAAUAGCAAGUGAAGUGAAGUCAAAUAUUACUACUCGGAAAUAACCUAAAAAAAGACCACUUCAGUCAGUUUAAUACUGCGGUUUCUGUCUAUUUUAAACUAGUAUUUAAGCACUUUUAAAGAAAAAGUUUUAAAUUUUGUGUUGUCAUAAAAUGCUGCUCCAAAGCACAAAACUCAAAUAAAGUUCUUUUUUAGUCAAUUC
RNAcentral lists this long non-coding RNA (743 nucleotides) under Danio rerio (zebrafish). RNAcentral describes it as "si:ch1073-467m9.2 (ENSDARG00000094409.3)". Lineage: Eukaryota; Metazoa; Chordata; Actinopteri; Cypriniformes; Danionidae. The record is from RNAcentral.